Molecule: long non-coding RNA, 2716 nt
Organism: Thamnophis sirtalis
Lineage: Eukaryota; Metazoa; Chordata; Lepidosauria; Squamata; Natricidae
Source: RefSeq, a predicted model, not a curated record
AUAAAAUAAAUAUUUGACAAAAACUCGCAGUGUCACUAUCACAUGAUGUAUUGCAAUGAUUUCUCUUCGCAGAGCUGGGAUGGAUGUGGCCUGUGUGUGACACCUCCAGCCCGGGCUGCCAAUUUGACAUCCCUGGUAUAAUGCUAUGGAGCCAUAAUAAGAUUUAACAUAGACAGCCAAUAUUUUUUCCCUUUGUGGCAUAAAGCGAUUUAGAUUUUUACUUGGCCUGACUUGAUUGCAACAAGUAAAAAACAAUCAUACCAAUUAAGAUAUAAAUGGCAUUACAUUUUUAAUUGCAAAAAGUUUUAUCCUCUCAUUUUCUGAAUUAAUCCAAUAUUCUCAAUCACUAAUCCCAAAAUGGAAUUAUGUUUAGUAAAUCAAGUAAGACCAUUUACUUGAUUAGUGCAGUUAAAAAUCUUGCUCCAAAGGAAUUACAAGCAGUAAUUCUGAAUUUAAAAAACUAGUAUAAAUAAAUCCAGUAUAAAUAAAAAGUUGCAUAAACAUGCUUUUGAACCAUUUUUUUUUCAAACACAAAAAACCCAUGUUUUGAAAACUUGGUACUUUAUAAAACAGUUGUUAACAAAUUUUAAACAUAUCACUUCCUUAGAACUAGACAUAUUUAUCUCCCACAUAUACUUACACUGUUUGUUAUUGCUUGUUUGUAAACUACAUCCUGAAAUGCACAACAGUAACAUUUGAAAUCAAACUUUCAUAAUAAAUCACUCAUCCACUCUUUGCCUCAACAAUUUUAGAUGCCAUCUAAGACUUCCUAGUAUAUACAAAUUGAGGCAGCUGCAAUUCUAAAUUUUGCUUCCUCACCAAACUACACAUUUUCUUUAUAUUAUUUAUAUCCCACCUUUAUUAUUUUAUUUACAAAUAAUUCAAGGUGCACAACAUAUCUAAAAGGAAUCUUCUCUUCCUAUUUUCCUCCAACAACAAUCCUGGUAUAUGAAUUGAGUUGAGAGUAUGUGACUGACCCAAGAACACCCAGCUUUCAUGGCUAAAGCAGGACUAGAAUCCACUCCAGGUUUCUAGUCUAGUACCUUAACCACUAGACUAGACCAAACUGACUCUAGUAUUCUUACAGCAGGCUUCUUACUGGAGUAAUAAUGCUAUACAUUUGGAGGUCACCAAUAUUCCCCAAAGAGUCUCACAAGAUUUACUUGUAAUCAGACAUGAAUAAAACUGGACUAACAUGCUGGGGUCACACACUGGGCUAAUUCAGAGUAUUUUGACUUCCUAUAUUACAAUAAAGCUGUAUAACACGUUCAUUCCUUACUCCUAUGCCCUGUGCUUGUGUAAUGCAUUGAAUCUUAUUUUAAUUAACUAUGUAGGCUGGAACUGAGGCACAUGCUAUUGCUUAAAUUUUAGGUGGAGCUUUUGGUAGUUUGAGAACUUGUCUAUAGACAUUUCAUUACCCAAUUAUGCAACAUCACCAGUGUGAUCUAUAUGUGGAGUUUCCUGACUAUGUGGAGAUGUGGCUUUUAGCUCCUUAAUCUUAUACUUGGGUAGAAUAACUACAGAUUCAAUACCACCACCCUGUGGGGAAAAAUACUAGAGCUCCAGGAAGGACAAAGACAUCUGGAAAUAAAGUCAUGUAAAGAAACAUACAAAUAAACACAAAGCUUACAGAGCACCAAGGACUCCACAGUUCAACCCUGAGCUACAGAAACAGGACUAGCUAUUUAGUAGCAAAAUGAUAUUAAAGAAUGAAAUUGCUUCUUAGCAGGAAGGAAAAAGAAACUCUGCCCCGGGGGUUGAAGGUUUACAUUUUAGCCUUCAAUCCCAGAAAGCAUCUGUAACACAGUAAAGAGAACUAACUGCCUGUUCCAGCUGAGCCCUCGAUUCUGCCUCUAAGGUAGCAGAUAAACGAAGACGAAGAGCACGAAGUCGAAAAGGAUCAUCAGCCAGAAGUCCAACCAGUAGGACGUCCCGGAGAGUGGGGGCCCGCAAGCGAUGCUCCCCGUCGUUCCCGCCACCUCGGCUGCCAGCCGGUUCGGUUCAUGCUCAGUCUUUCGGCGGUCUCGUACCUCAACGCCUUCCGCAGCCUCCAUCGUCCCUCACACGGAAAGAAUUUAUUCCGCGACCGGCGACCGGCCUACGUAGGACUGUUACUACCAUAGAGACGCACGCAAAAAAGGAGGGGCACCAUAGCGAUGUUUCCGGUAGACACUUUCAGUACGACGUGGCCCUUAUAUGUCUGUUCAGACAAAGGGAGAUGCCUGUGGUUGAUUCGCCGCGAACGUUAAUUCUGUACAGCACAGAAACUGUGAUUGGAUAAUAGAAAUCUGGGCUUGGCGGAGUAUUUUAAACCAUGACUGACCAACUUAUCUUAAUGGAAUCUGAAUAUGUUUGUCUGGACUUGUUCUUCAUUUUAAAAAGAUUGAUUUUAAGACAGACGAGGCAGAGUUUCUUAUGAUUUUAUUUUAAUGUGUACUGUAAUUUUAAAAUUUGGACUUCUUGAACCAGAAUUCCUUCCUAAGUAGAAAUUUGUGUUUUUCUUAGUUUUUCAAUACCAAAUCAAGGUGAAAAAAGAAUACUGGACAGAAAUUAGGAUACAAUAUAUUAGGUGACAUUUUGAUGAGAAGGUGUGUACAAAAUUUAUUCUUUCCAAAUCUACAUAAAAAAUAGUUGUGUUAACAUUUUUAAGAAAUCUCAAAAAUAAAGCUAAUGAGGAAAUGUGGCAAAUUAAAAAAAAAAACAGAACUAGGUAAAU